Molecule: ribosomal RNA, 253 nt
Filed under: uncultured bacterium
Lineage: Bacteria
Description: partial 16S ribosomal RNA
Rfam family: Bacterial small subunit ribosomal RNA
Source: RNAcentral
UACGGAGGGGGCUAGCGUUGUUCGGAAUUACUGGGCGUAAAGCGCACGUAGGCGGACGGUAAAGUCAGAGGUGAAAUCCCGGGGCUCAACCCCGGAACUGCCUUUGAAACUCGCGGUCUUGAGGUCGAGAGAGGUGAGUGGAAUUCCGGGUGUAGAGGUGAAAUUCGUAGAUAUUCGGAGGAACACCAGUGGCGAAGGCGGCUCUCUGGCUCGAUACUGACGCUGAGGUGCGAAAGCGUGGGGAGCAAACAGG